RNAcentral lists this ribosomal RNA (559 nucleotides) under uncultured bacterium. Its description in RNAcentral is "bacterial SSU rRNA". It matches the Rfam family "Bacterial small subunit ribosomal RNA", at positions 771 to 1324 of the family's 1533-position model. The record is from RNAcentral.
ACCCAAUAGAUACCCCGGUAGUCCACGCCCUAAACGAUGUCAACUGGUUGUUGGGGAAGGUAACUUCCUUAGUAACGAAAGCUAAACGCGUGAAAGUUGACCGCCUGGGGAGUACGGCCGCAAGGUUAAAACUCAAAGGAAUUGACGGGGACCCGGCACAAGCGGUGGAUGAUGUGGAUUAAUUCGAUGCAAACGCGAAGAACCUUACCUACCCUUGACAUGUAGCGAACCCUGCUGAGAGGCGGGGGUUGCCCGAAAGGGAGCGCUAACACAGGUGCUGCAUGGCUGUCGUCAGCUCGUGUCGUGAGAUGUUUGGGGUUAAGUCCCCGCAACGAGCGCAACCCUUGUCACUAGUUGCUACGAAAGGGCACUCUAGUGAGACUGCCGGUGACAAACCGGAGGAAGGUGGGGAUGACGUCAAGUCCUCAUGGCCCUUAUGGGUAGGGCUUCACACGUCAUACAAUGGCGCAUACAGAGGGUUGCCAACCCGGCGAGGGGGUAGCCAAUCCCAGAAAGUGCGUCGUAGUCCGGAUUGUUCUCUGCAACUCGAGAGCAUGAA